Molecule: ribosomal RNA, 494 nt
Filed under: uncultured bacterium
Lineage: Bacteria
Description: partial 16S ribosomal RNA
Rfam family: Bacterial small subunit ribosomal RNA
Source: RNAcentral
GACGAACGCUGGCGGCGCGCUUAACACAUGCAAGUCGAACGGAAAGGCCUGCUUUCCCUUGUGGAUUGCGGGUACUCGAGUGGCGAACGGGUGAGUAACACGUGAGUGAUCUGCCCCCAACUUGGGUAUAAGCCUGGGAAACUGGGUCUAAUUCCCGAUAGGACUGCAGGGUGGUGCCUGUGGUGGAAAACGAUUUUCUAGUGGUUGGGGAUGAGCUCGCGGCCUAUCAGCUUGUUGGUGGGGUAAUGGCCUACCAAGGCGGCGACGGGUAGCCGGCCUGAGAGGGUGGACGGCCACAUUGGGACUGAGAUACGACCCCGACUCCUACGGGAGGCAGCAGUGGGGAAUAUUGCACAAUGAGCGGAAGCCUGAUGCAGCGACGCCGCGUGGAGGAUGACGGCCUUCGGGUUGUAAACUCCUUUCGACCGCGAGGAAGCCACCUGGUUGGAAGGGUGGUGACGGUAGUGGUAGAAGAAGCACCGGCUAACUACGUG